UAGUCCACGCCGUAAACGAUGUCUACUAGCUGUAGGGGUACUUGAGACCUUUGUAGCGCAGCUAACGCACUAAGUAGACCGCCUGGGGAGUACGGCCGCAAGGUUAAAACUCAAAUGAAUUGACGGGGGCCCGCACAAGCAGUGGAGCAUGUGGUUUAAUUCGAUGCAACGCGAAGAACCUUACCAGGCCUUGACAUCCUAGGAAUCCUGUAGAGAUACGGGAGUGCCUUCGGGAAUCUAGUGACAGGUGCUGCAUGGCUGUCGUCAGCUCGUGUCGUGAGAUGUUGGGUUAAGUCCCGUAACGAGCGCAACCCUUGUCCUUAGUUGCCAGCACAUUAUGGUGGGAACUCUAAGGAGACUGCCGGUGACAAACCGGGNGGAAGGUGGGGACGACGUCAAGUCAUCAUGGCCCUUACGGGCCUGGGGCUACACACGUGCUACAAUGGCUAGGGACAGACGGCUGCAAACCCGCGAGGGGG
RNAcentral lists this ribosomal RNA (479 nucleotides) under uncultured bacterium. Its description in RNAcentral is "bacterial SSU rRNA". It matches the Rfam family "Bacterial small subunit ribosomal RNA", at positions 791 to 1265 of the family's 1533-position model. The record is from RNAcentral.